UGUGUUGAUAACUGUAAGAGUACUGAUGUGAUAAACUUCUGGAAAGGCCUGAGGAUCCUGCUCUGGUCUCAUGGCUGACCCUGCUUGGAGGAGCAGGCUGGACUUGGUGACCUCCCGAGGCCUCUUCCAACCUGAAUCACCCUGUGGUCCUGUGAAAGUAUUGCCUAGGCUGUGAGCAACUUCGUAUACAGGACUGGAAUGAUAGAAGACCAAUUAGUCACCUCUGAAAUGGCUAAGAAACUGCUGUAGUCUCCAGUUUUAAAUGGGAAUUUGUCAGUGAGUAGACAUGCUUCUAAUGGAGUCCUGGAGUUAUCACGGCUCUGUCUUUGAGAUGAGGUCAAACUUUGAAGAAGGGAUAACUAAAUAAAAGACAGAUCACCAGUGCAGAAUGGUUGAGAUCCCAUUAGUAACCCGGAUGAAAACAAGCAACGUGUUUUAGUAGGACCCAUGUAGAGCUGGGCCGUAUCCUGGGAACCGAUGACUCUGAAGAUGAUGUGUGAAGCUGUGGGGGCCGUCAGCCAAGUGGCAAAGAAGGGAAAUGUCAUCUUUGGGUGUAUAAGACCAGGAGGAAGGUGCUCCUCCUGCAGUUUCCAGUUGUGACUUCGGUAGUUUGAGGAAGGUGUUGAUAAAUUGGUGAGAAUUGCGGAAAAGGUUUUAAGAAAUGUUAAAUGACUGGAAAGCACAUCUACCCACUGGAGACUGAAGGAGACAGUUUGCAUGGUCUAACAAAGAGGCAGGUAGCGGGGAGACUUGAACACCCUGGUGGAGAGAAACAGAAACACAAUAAAAAGGCUGAAUUCAGUCCAGCAAACAAACAUGCAAUAACAACCAGUAGAGAGAUGCUGAAGAAGGUAGCAGCGCAUCCACACAGACGAGUGGCUCAACAGGCUCCUCACGCUGCUGCAUCUCUGGGGAGCCCCUUUUAGGGGGUGUCUCUGGACCAUUUGUGCCGCCACUUAACUUGGCUUAGAAACGUACGGAGGAGCAAAGUUAGAUCUGCCCCAGUGUAAACUGGCAUCAUUCCAUGUGAGCUGAUGGUCUGUCAGCCUUUCUGAGGGCAACGCGUUGCCUCUGAUCGUCGCUGGGAGAGAGGAGUGAUGAUGCUGGUCCUCGUCCUUCCUGUGCUGGGAUCUGUAUUUUGAGAAAGAAGCACUGGAGCUGAGCGUGCAAAGCCCGUCCGUUGUCUGUGCAUUGCCUCUGUGAGCAGCGGCAGGGAUGACAGCCAGGCAGCAAGGUGAAAAAAGACUGGGUGAGCCGUGCGGCACGUGGCUCAGGCUGACCCUUGCUCUGGAGCAGCUGAGGAUGUCCGGGAGAGAUUAGCAGGAGGAAACCUGUAGCUGGUGAAAAUCUGAGGCUACAUUUAUUAGGAGGUUCUGGAGCUCCUUCUGCAUUUCCUUGCUGAUCCCAGGUAAGACGUAUCCAGCUGAAACUGAUGGAGGCGUUCGGGGAGAAAAGGGGUAUGACGGAAAAUACUUCCCGAGCGCAAAGGUAGAAGUGGUUCAUGCCAAGCAGCACGGCUCCUCUAUCCCGCGGGAUGCCUCGGCGUGUACUGGUGGAGCACUCCUGAGGGUGAGCAGCGAUGGGUGGAGGAGGGAAACAGUGUUAGCUUGCAAUAAUCAUAUGUAUGAAAAUUAGUAGGCGUUUGCCGUACAAGUGUUGUUUGACUGAAUUUCCUCUUAAAGUGAAUUUGACAAGCCUGAAAGACAGUAUUACACACAAGUGCUUCUGUUUGCUCCCUGUGCAGCUAUUUGCAGCAGCUGCCAAAGACCUGACGAGCUCUGGGCACGGGUAAAUUUUUUCCAUGUGUUGAUUUGUCAGGUCUUGUACUGCAGAACAUGUCAGACACUGGCAACUGCCCAUCCGCAAAAGGGUUUGAUGGCUCCUGUGCCAUCAGCGGGCUUUUGAUGCAAGGCGCUCAGAAAUGAGGUGUGUCUGGGCAGGCCCCUCGUUUCACCAGUCUUUCGAACUUUUUUUUACCAGGUUGAUAUACCUCCCUCUCCCUAAUUGUGUUUCUCUGCAAAGAAAAGAAAACAGCAGUGCAGAAUAAAUGACAAUUUACCAACAACCUUCCAGUGUUGAGCUGUUACGUGCCGGGGGUCUGGAGCAGCCCUCCAAAAGCGAGCCAGUGUGCUUGUAAGAGAGGAGAGAGGAUUCUUCAACAGAAAGUAGAGUUGGUUUCUGCCUUUGCGGUGUGGUUACUUAACUGCCUUCAUUAACAGCUACUCCAUUGUGACAAACAAGAGACAACUCUGCCGGUUGGAGACAGGUACGGUCCAGGCUGUAUCACAGACCCUGUAAUUCUAAGAACUGAAUUUAUCGCAAGAUGCUUUAGUGCAAAGUGCAUUGGGAACAAGCAAGCCUGAGAUCUCGCUGAACUGCUGCCAGGAGGUCCCAUAUAGCUCGUGACUUCAUGUGGAAGUCACAGCUGCAGGACCUAGUUUAAGCAGUUAUCUCAAGGAAGAGGUUGGCUCUUCCCUGCCUGUGUCUGGCCCAAACCUAAAGCACAAACGGGACUGAAGAAGUGGUGGGUGACUGCGACCACUGGUGUUACUGUUCUUUGCAUGUCCGUCUCGUGGGUUAGCUCGGGUUGGACAAAGGAGCGCAAGGGCCCGAGCCUCUCGGUGCGUGUUGAAGGCAUUGCUAGCAGGGGCUCUAACGCCGACUAGCAGCAGACUGAAGAGGCUGGGCUUCUGCUGAUACCCAAUUAGCUGAUUAUCCCAAAGGGAAUUGAAAAUGAAGGUUAUCUUUCAACUUGUGAUGAGCUUCCAAAUAAAUAUUCAACAUGCAUUUAAUAAGACAGUUUUAUGCAUUAUUUAAGUAUCAAUUGAUGGGUAGAAGACGAAACACUGCACUUCUGAUGCUGAGGUCUGAAAGGCAAGGGUAGAAAUCUGGUGAAUGAGUCAUUAAAGGAGAUUGGUAUCACUCAUUUUAGUGGAUUAUUAUUUACACAGUAAUCACAAAAAGAAUUUUAGAAAAAUUCAUUUCUACAUUUUGGUUGUUUGGGGAAUUAUUUUUUUGUUUGUUUUUAAAGCGUGAGAUAAGGGUACAAAAUGGAUGAGAAGAUUAGGAAAAAAGAGAUGGCAAGGCAAGGGUGAUCCUGCCUCCAGAUCAGAGCAAGAUUAGCUCUUCUGGGGUCAGGGUGUAACUUUGUGCCUGGUUCAGAAAGAAUAACUUUCAUGUCAGGGGUGAAAUCUUUUUCCUUGAACUUGGAGGGUUUGAUUCUCCUCUUACUCUCGCUUCGGGCAUAUUUCAGGAUGGACUUUGCUGGAGGCAAAAGCCCUCUCUGAGAAGUGAAUCCGUUACUGAGAAAUAGUCCAGCUUCUCUUGUGUAGUGGGAAUUUUUAAUGUUGCAGACACUCAGGGCAAGUCCUGACUGUCACCUUGUUCAAACUGUUGCUGGAUUUAUCUUGCAGAGCAGUGAUGUGCCCUAUUCCCAUGGAGAAACUGUGCGUGGCCGGGUCCCCAGCGUGCACUGCCCUAGGGACCGAUCCCUGCGUGAGCGAUACCCUGCGUAUCUCACAGCAAUGCCCAUUUUUGGCCUGUACUUUUCCCUCCCUCGUAUUUUUUCUCCUCCAGUCCAGGUUACCUGAAACCUUGAUAAGAUGCUUUAGCUGGGUCCCAUCCCUGCCAGAAACCCAGGACUUGGACCAGCACACGAUGGUUUCAAUGCCAUGGAGGUGUCAUUGAAACUCUUCUCCUGUGGGAUAUCUGAGAGCAGGGUCAGCCUCGCAGCCCUGGGUGAUGCCCCUUCGUUAGUUAAAUAAACCAGUGACCUCCGAGACACGAGUGAAACAAGAUUGAAAGGGGGAGAGUGGGUUUUCUCCCCACUGCGUCUCUGCCCCUCCAGUGCUUCGUUCUUCAGCUGCCCAGCGGGGCUGAGCUCCUCCUGGCAGCUCAGGGCAUCGGAGAAAUGUUGCUGAAACAGGAGCUCUCAGUGCCCAGACGAUGAUGCAGGAAGACGUUGAUUCUUCGCAAGUCACCAGCUGCAGCAUCGUGCGCCUGGGGUUAUCGCGGCAGAAACUGUACCGCUGCUGGCGGCGGAGCGAGCGCGGAGCGAGCAGGUGAAGCUGCUGCUGCCUGCCCGGAGUGUGGCCCCCCGCGGACUUCGCUGGCUGAAGGACCUAAGCCAGUCUAUCAGUUGCUUCCAAGCAAUCUUCCUGCAAGAAAUGCUACAGUUCCUCUUAUGGAUCAUUAACUGGAAAUGAACUUGAGACCUUCGGAUGUAAACACACUGCCUGCUGCCGUACACCUAGCAGAUCAACACUUUAGUUGACAAUGCAAGUAAUAAUGGGCCCGCAUCUCAGACUACGUCUUCACAGCCAGGUGUUCCCGUGGCACGAACAUCCCAGCUCGUCUGCCACCGACUGCCCUCCCGGGCCGCUUCCAGUGCUGCGGCAUCGCUGCGGCGGCUGGUUCAGGAUUCUGCUGAGCGUGGUCGAGCGUGGCGAUGGAUCCCUGGAGUUCAAGAGGCCAGUCCUGGACAGGAGCUGUUGGUGAAAGAACAAAAGAAAUGAGCUGGAGAAACUGUGGCUGAGCAGGUCUAAUCCUGUCUACAACGUCACCGUUGCCCUGGCGUUAGCGGAGGGACUCACCGAAGCCAGGUGCUGGUGUGUCUGUGAAGAAGGACCCUCCGUUACCGGCACUGUUCUGAGUUGCAGGAGAGGAGAUUCGGCAGGGGAGACAUACUUGUGGCUGAUAAGCUGCGUUUGAAGUUCCUCUGCUGCACUGAGGACCUCGGGUAAGACUCACACCAGCGAAUUUGGCCUCCGUAAAUGACACGGUUGCCUUAAGCACCAUGAGACGAUGAUCACUGUUAUUAACCCUAUCUAACGAUGCUGAAAUGCAGGUGCCGAGUCCUUCCUGAAGAGCUUUGCUUGGCUCCCAGCAGCUUUCGCCCUGAGCCAGGCUGUCCGUAGGUCAUUUGUUGGUCAUCAGAGUUGGAGGGUCCCCGGCUGAGCGAU
This is a non-coding RNA of Phalacrocorax carbo (great cormorant), 4961 nucleotides long. The record is from RefSeq and is a predicted model, not a curated record. Lineage: Eukaryota; Metazoa; Chordata; Aves; Suliformes; Phalacrocoracidae.